RNAcentral lists this ribosomal RNA (429 nucleotides) under Bacteroidota bacterium. RNAcentral's name for it is "Bacteroidetes bacterium partial 16S ribosomal RNA". It matches the Rfam family "Bacterial small subunit ribosomal RNA", at positions 355 to 776 of the family's 1533-position model. Lineage: Bacteria; Pseudomonadati; Bacteroidota. The record is from RNAcentral.
UAGGGAAUCUUCCGCAAUGGACGCAAGUCUGACGGAGCAACGCCGCGUGAGUGAAGAAGGAUUUCGGUUCGUAAAACUCUGUUGUUAGAGAAGAACAGCGCAUAGAGUAACUGUUAUGCGUGUGACGGUAUCUAACCAGAAAGCCACGGCUAACUACGUGCCAGCAGCCGCGGUAAUACGUAGGUGGCAAGCGUUGCCCGGAUUUAUUGGGCGUAAAGCGAGCGCAGGCGGUCAAUUAAGUCUGAUGUGAAAGCCCCCGGCUCAACCGGGGAGGGUCAUUGGAAACUGGUUGACUUGAGUGCAGAAGAGGAGAGUGGAAUUCCAUGUGUAGCGGUGAAAUGCGUAGAUAUAUGGAGGAACACCAGUGGCGAAGGCGACUCUCUGGUCUGUAACUGACGCUGAGGCUCGAAAGCGUGGGUAGCAAACAGG